RNAcentral lists this ribosomal RNA (429 nucleotides) under Pseudomonadota bacterium. RNAcentral's name for it is "Proteobacteria bacterium partial 16S ribosomal RNA". It matches the Rfam family "Bacterial small subunit ribosomal RNA", at positions 355 to 776 of the family's 1533-position model. Lineage: Bacteria; Pseudomonadati; Pseudomonadota. The record is from RNAcentral.
UGGGGAAUAUUGGACAAUGGGCGAAAGCCUGAUCCAGCCAUGCCGCGUGCGUGAAGAAGGUCUUCGGAUUGUAAAGCACUUUAAGUUGGGAGGAAGGGCAGUAAGCGAAUACCUUGCUGUUUUGACGUUACCGACAGAAUAAGCACCGGCUAACUCUGUGCCAGCAGCCGCGGUAAUACAGAGGGUGCAAGCGUUAAUCGGAAUUACUGGGCGUAAAGCGCGCGUAGGUGGUUCGUUAAGUUGAAUGUGAAAGACCCGGGCUCAACCUGGGAACUGCAUCCAAAACUGGCGGGCUAGAGUAGGGCAGAGGGUGGUGGAAUUUCCUGUGUGGCGGUGAAAUACGUAGAUAUAGGAAGGAACACCAGUGGCGAAGGCGACCACCUGGGCUCAUACUGACACUGAGGUGCGAAAGCGUGGGGAGCAAACAGG